RNAcentral lists this long non-coding RNA (1121 nucleotides) under Marmota monax (woodchuck). Lineage: Eukaryota; Metazoa; Chordata; Mammalia; Rodentia; Sciuridae. The record is from RNAcentral.
CUGCAAAAAUUGAUAAUUUUUAGAUUAACUUAUUUGUCAACUUUGUCAAGUUCUUAUAACUAUUGAGACCCCAGAAACACUGUUUCAGGAUGCUGUUAGAUCUAUCAAUCUCUAGACAAUACUACUUUAGGAAGAUUUUUGGGUCACUUCUUAUCUCUCCCUAAUGCACAUUUAUGUGUGUGUACAGGCAGACUUUUGAGAGUCCUAUCCUGUGACAGUUUAGUUUUCCCCUCCCCCAAUUCUACACUUUAUAACUGUUUUGGCAAUGAUCUAUUCAUUGUUUCACUGCAGAGUUUUGUACAAUAAAGGACUGUACAACAUGUACCCUUUGAUAAUACCCACAGCUAUCUCUGUGGUAACAAAAUCUUUGUAAGUGAUCUGAAAAGGAAAAGACAACUGUGGUGGUCAGUCUCCCAGAGGGCCCCAAUGAUGUCACCUCCUGUUACUCCAACUUUUGGUUGUCACUAAGAUCUCACUCACAGGGUUGGUGACUGAAAAACUAAGCAGAAGUGGUAGGAUGUUUCUUCUGAAAUUAGGUAAUAAAAAGCACUGAAGCUUCCAUUUGGUUUCCUCUCUCUUUCUCGCUCCUUUUUCAUCAUUCACCCUGGAGGAAACCAUCUGGCAUGUUUUGAGUAGCCCUACAGAGAAGCCCACAUAGUGAAGAACUAAGGCCUAUCAAGAGCCACAUGAAUGGCCUUAGAAAGGAAACUUUUAGGGGCCAAUGAGAUUUCAGAUGACAGUCAUCCUGACCAACAGCACCACUACAAUGUCAAGAGAGAUGCUGAGUUGGAACCACCCAGCUAAGCCACUCCCAGAUUCCUGACCUUCUGCAACUGUAUAAGAAAACAAUUGUUUGAAGUUGCUAAGCUUAGGGAUAAUUUGUUACACAGUAACAGAAAACUGAAAUAUUAACCGAAACAAAUGGAAUUAACCAAAAAGGAGGAGGAAAAGAAAAGCCCUAAAGAAAAGGGAAAACUUUACAUAAAAAGGGAGAGGGACUCUAAUUUCUUCUUGGUUACUGGAUAAUAAUUUAGUUUUCCUCUGAAACACUUUUAGCAUAUUUCUGAAGGUAAUGUCUUAUCUUCUCUGCAUUCUUCCAUCUGAUUAUUAAUCUCUUUUAC